UAAAUUCUUGGCUCCUAAAAACUCCUUUAAUUUGCAUAAAAUACUCAGAUUGUAGCAAAAUCCUUUCAAAACAUUUUUCUCCUAUGAAGGAUUUUUUUUCUCUAAACUUUAGAAAUUCAUAUCUCUUGAUCCAAAUAUUAAUUUUUUUUUUUCAAAUUUCUAGAUAAUUUAGAAUUUAUCCUUGAGCUAUACCAUAAAAAAAUGAACUAUAAAUCUACUACAAAUCAUUUGGCAUCUUAGAAAUCCUAACAGAUUCUUUAAACCCUAAUUUACAAGCACUUGAACACUAUUUUUUCCAUAUCUCAAAAAUCCAAACUCCAAAUGCCACAAAAUUUGUGUAUAAAGUUUAAUAAUAUAAUAAUAGACAUUUAUAAAAAUAUUUGACUAAAAUCUUAUCAAUUUGCUCAAGAUAUGGCUUGAAACACAAC
This 428-nucleotide long non-coding RNA is filed under the name Physcomitrium patens. Its description in RNAcentral is "long non-coding RNA (PPAT_LNC013135)". The record is from RNAcentral. Lineage: Eukaryota; Viridiplantae; Streptophyta; Bryopsida; Funariales; Funariaceae.